Molecule: ribosomal RNA, 347 nt
Filed under: uncultured bacterium
Lineage: Bacteria
Description: partial 16S ribosomal RNA
Rfam family: Bacterial small subunit ribosomal RNA
Source: RNAcentral
CCUACGGGAGGCAGCAGUGAGGAAUAUUGGUCAAUGGGCUUACGCCUGAACCAGCCAAGUCGCGUGAGGGAAGACUGCCCUAUGGGUUGUAAACCUCUUUUGUCAGGGAGCAAGUGGCGCUACGUGUAGCGUUAUCGAGAGUACCUGAAGAAAAAGCAGCGGGUAACUCCGUGCCAGCAGCCGCGGUAAUACGGAGGAUGCGAGCGUUAUCCGGAUUUAUUGGGUUGAAAGGGUGCGUAGGCGGAAUGCCAAGUCAGCGGUAAAAUCGCGGGGCUCAACCUCGCUCCGCCGUUGAAACUGGCGUUCUUGAGUGGGCGAGAAGUAUGCGGUAUGCGUGGUGUAGCGGU